This is a long non-coding RNA of Leptidea sinapis, 359 nucleotides long. RefSeq lists it as uncharacterized. NCBI's taxonomy places the organism in Eukaryota, Metazoa, Arthropoda, Insecta, Lepidoptera, Pieridae. The record is from RefSeq and is a predicted model, not a curated record. The transcript is spliced from 3 exons.
GCGGUUAUUUGGUUUAAAAUUUUUCAGUAGUAAUAUAAAAGUUUUAAGCAAUUUAAAUAAAAUGUCUGCCACGGGUACUCAAAUCGAAACCCUUAUGGAUUUCAUGAUGAAAAAUCCAGAUUUAGCCCGUGGCCUUAUACAUAGCGUAGAGGGUCGUGUUCAAUCAAAAAGAUUGUGGGAUAAUAUCACAAGCCAUUUAAAUAGCCUUGGAGGUGCUGUAAAAACUGUGCAGCAGUGGAAGAAGCCUUUAGAACAGCCUACACCAAUGACAAUUACUGAAACCAUAUCAAACACCUCUACUAACAAAGAGACCCUUGAAGCUACUCCUGAUAUUGAUUCAGAAGUACACAAUAUUCAAG